UACGUAGGGCGCAAGCGUUGUCCGGAAUUAUUGGGCGUAAAGAGCUUGUAGGCGGUUUGUCGCGUCUGCCGUGAAAUUUCGAGGCUCAACCUCGAACUUGCGGUGGGUACGGGCAGACUAGAGUGUGGUAGGGGAGACUGGAAUUCCUGGUGUAGCGGUGAAAUGCGCAGAUAUCAGGAGGAACACCGAUGGCGAAGGCAGGUCUCUGGGCCACUACUGACGCUGAGAAGCGAAAGCAUGGGGAGCGAACAGG
RNAcentral lists this ribosomal RNA (253 nucleotides) under uncultured bacterium. RNAcentral's name for it is "partial 16S ribosomal RNA". It matches the Rfam family "Bacterial small subunit ribosomal RNA", at positions 524 to 776 of the family's 1533-position model. The record is from RNAcentral.